UACGGGGGGGGCAAGCGUUGUUCGGAAUUACUGGGCGUAAAGGGCUCGUAGGCGGCCAACUAAGUCGGACGUGAAAUCCCCAGGCUCAACCUGGGAACUGCGUCCGAUACUGGAUGGCUUGAAUCCGGGAGAGGGAUGCAGAAUUCCAGGUGUAGCGGUGAAAUGCGUAGAUAUCGUAAGGAAGACCAGUGGCGAAGGCGGGUCUCUGGACAGUUCCUGACGCUGAGGCACGAAGGUCUGGGGAGCAAACGGG
RNAcentral lists this ribosomal RNA (253 nucleotides) under uncultured bacterium. Its description in RNAcentral is "partial 16S ribosomal RNA". It matches the Rfam family "Bacterial small subunit ribosomal RNA", at positions 524 to 776 of the family's 1533-position model. The record is from RNAcentral.